CCGAGGCGGGUGGAUCACGAGGUCAGGUGAUCGAGACCAUCCUGACUAACACAGUGAAACCCUGUCUCUACUAAAAAUAAAAAUUAGCUGGGCGUGGGGGCGGGCACCUGUAGUCCCAGCUACUCGGGAGGCUGAGGUGGAAGAAUGGUGUGAACUCGGGGGGUGGAGCUUGCAGUAAGCUGAGAUCGCACCACUGCACUCCAGCCUGGGCGACAGAGCAAGACUCUGUCUCGAAAAAAAAAAAAAGAAAUAGGACUGGAGGAAGAUGCUUUACAUUAUCAAGGGUGGUUGUCUCUGUUUGAUGGAUUCAUAGGGAUUUUUUCCUCCCUUCUACUUUUAUUUUUUAAAAAUUUUUAUAGUGGACUUUUACCAGUUAUAUAAUGAAGGAAAAAUAAAUAAUUCUUUAAAAUAUUUCUGCUGCCAUUAACGCUUCCCUGCAUGUUACAGGUAGCAACGUGUACUCAGUAUGUUUGGUGUCUCACAAGCAUCCAGUUGAACACUGGAGCCAUGGAGAGAGCUCAGUCUCACACCUAAGAAGGUACCCAGACAAUUUUGGUGCUCUCAAAAAAGCUUUCUAUAAGGGUUUAUCAGUGAGCCUAAAACAUAGAAAAAGAUCAUACAGAUUUCAGCAUAAGGAACUUCAGAAUCAAAAUGGAGUCACUAAUAUUAAAAAAACAAAACCAAAAACCUUUGACAAACAGACAGGGAAGGCCAUGAAGAGAGGGUUCUCACGCUUGAAUGCCUGAUAACACAACUAUCACAAAGGACUCUAAAAACCUACGCUCUUGCACAAAGGCCAUCACAGCCUUACACAACAAAAUACUUGUGCAAGGACAUCUACCCAGGAACUCCCCAUCCAACCUCACACUGACAUCACCUUCGUUAUUGAUCUUUUUGCCAAAAAUAAUUAUUUCAAAGGAAUUAUGUAAUCCUCUUUACUUUUUCCUUUAAAAAUCUUAGUGUUAUUUCACCUCCCUGAAUGUGCACAUAGCUUGCCAUGGCAUGCGUAUUUUCAUUGCAAUGCCCUAUUUCCAAAUAUAUAUAUCUUUUAGAGAGCCUCUCUGUGCUUAUUAUUAAGGCUGGUAGCCUUUACACAUAAACCCUCCCUUCUUCACACAAUGAGCUGGGAAAUUAUUAAAAUGAGUAAUUCACUAUUGAAAAGCGUCAUCAAAGAAAAAGACAGUCAUAUUGAACAAAGGACAACUCCCAUGAUGAAGGCGUGUCCAGCGGCCUGCACUCAGGGAUGGCGCUUUUCGGUUUCAUCUCACGUGUAUGUCUCCUCUCCUUUCCACAAAGGUCUGGGGACAAGCACUGAUCUUGAAUCAUUUCCACAGGUUCUCUGAAUGUUGGUGAGACUGAGCUGAGCAGUACCUGCACAGUGUGCAGCUGUAAUGAAGCACUUGCCCUGGAAUCCUUCUUGCAAAUUUCUGUUGAUGCCCUCCCUGAGCUGUUGGUACAGAAACAACUUGAAACAGGUAUUAACCUUCCUUACCAAUGAAAGUUUAGUUACAAAGUCUCUUGCUCCAAAAAAGAGGUAGUUCUUUGCAACUUAUGUUUCAAAUAAUUUCAGUGUCAUUUUCUAAAGAAAGAUUCUGCGCUAGGACAAGACAGCUUGGAUGGUCUUUUCCAAGGGAUUAACCGAGGAAAGUUUCCCCCAAAUAAAUCUCGGUGGAGCAGAGUUCCUGCCUCCCUGCCCUGCCCCACUUCUUCCCCAGUGGACCCCGCCUCCCUGAAACGGCCAGUGCACACUCGGGCCCCAGUCCUGCCCUCCUUUCUCAGUGGCUCUGGAGUGUGAGUGUGAAGCUGGUGACAGAACACGCAGCCCAGGCCAGUCCCUGCUCCUGGCGGACGGGCAAGCUUACCUGGGCCAUCUGGGUUGCGGUGUUUCCCUUUGCCCCUAGGAGAACCAUGGCCAGGGCAGAGGAGAUGCUCACAGGAGAACAGAACACGUUGUGCGAAGGGUUAUCUUGACACAGUAUCUUUAAAAGGCGUAUGGCAAAAGUACCACUUGCAUUAGAAAGAGUUUCCAUGAUGCAGGGCCUGGAAGGGAAGAAUAAAGAGAAAUGCAGUUUCCACACUCCCUGAAUGUUACUG
This 2094-nucleotide long non-coding RNA is filed under the name Homo sapiens (human). Its description in RNAcentral is "HSALNT0331778". The record is from RNAcentral. Lineage: Eukaryota; Metazoa; Chordata; Mammalia; Primates; Hominidae.